This 65-nucleotide transfer RNA is filed under the name Pleophylla sp. PLE01. RNAcentral describes it as "tRNA-Arg". Lineage: Eukaryota; Metazoa; Arthropoda; Insecta; Coleoptera; Scarabaeidae. The record is from RNAcentral.
AAAUAAGAAACAAUAUAAUGUAUUUAGUUUCGACCUAAAAUUUAGGUGAUAGCCACCCUUAUUUA